Molecule: ribosomal RNA, 253 nt
Filed under: uncultured bacterium
Lineage: Bacteria
Description: partial 16S ribosomal RNA
Rfam family: Bacterial small subunit ribosomal RNA
Source: RNAcentral
GACGUAGGGCGCGAGCGUUGUCCGGAUUUAUUGGGCGUAAAGAUCUCGUAGGCGGCUUGUCGCGUCGACUGUGAAAACCCGCGGCUCAACCGCGGGCCUGCAUUCGAUACGGGCAGGCUAGAGUUCGGUAGGGGAGUGGGGAAUUCCUAGUGUAGCGGUGAAAUGCGCAGAUAUUAGGAGGAACACCGGUGGCGAAGGCGCCACUCUGGGCCGAAACUGACGCUGAGGAGCGAAAGCAUGGGUAGCAAACAGG